Molecule: small RNA, 133 nt
Filed under: Klebsiella variicola
Lineage: Bacteria; Pseudomonadati; Pseudomonadota; Gammaproteobacteria; Enterobacterales; Enterobacteriaceae
Description: RtT sRNA
Rfam family: RtT RNA
About the family: This family represents a bacterial cis-regulatory element known as RtT RNA.
Source: RNAcentral
GAUUCUGCCCUACGGGGAAGGAUGAGAAGCUUCGACUAAGGUUCGACUCGAUCGCCAGCGAGAGAACGUUGCCGCAGGCAAUGGCCCGAAGGGCGAGGAGCGAUAGCGACGAGUUAUCCUUCCCCCUCUAUUC